ACCAUAGUUGAUUAUGAGUACUUGGUUGACCACAAGAGAAUAUAUUAGGGCUGAAUAAGACUUUAAUGAACAUCUUGACCUGAAUCCCAAAUGUUGUGACAGAGGAAAUUUGAGAUUGAAAACAUUCCCAGGGGCCUGACUUUAAUUGUAACCUGGGCACUGGACUGUCAGUGCUGUCUGACUUCAGAAUUGCCAACUGACUUGAUGGAUCUACAAUGAACAGCCUUUUCAUAGAUGACUACAUGACAUCUGAGUAUUCCACAGAAGGUUGAGGAGUAGGAAAAGAAGAAAUUGCAAUAGUCCAUCUCUGCUGGUCACCUGUGGAAAUCCUCUUCAUGUUCCUCUGACUAGUUCCUGACCCCAAACAAAGAUGUAAUCAACAUUGAUAAACUUGUUACCGAACACCUACUUCCAAUAUGACUGUUCAUCUCUUCUGGAAAAAAAAUGAACAUCAUGAAGUGUGAGCAUUAAGAGGCCAUUUGUGGGAUUAUUGGAUGUUUUUGAAUGCUAGAGUCCAACCUCUGACUCAUAAGCCCAGAAAACCACUGCCUGUUUUGAGCAAGCAAGUGGCAUGAUAAAAAAGUUCUACCAAGAUGUAGUUGGCAGCUUAAUGCAAGACUGGUUGACUAGACGAAGUCUGGAGGGAAAUAGAUUUUGUAGGGGAAAGCUGGAGGGUCUAUGUGAAACCAUAUAGAAGGAAACACUUAUUUGGGCCUGGUCAUCAUUUGCGCCCACUUCAGCGUGCCCAAGAUACCUUCUCCUUGGAUUCAGUGCUCACAAUGGCCCUCCUUUUGAAAAUAAGCACUCCCGACUUGCUACCCUUGAGCUGUUCUCACAUCCCUGGGAAGGUGAGUGCCAUGCUCUUGUCGCCCUGUGUGUAUCUUCAGACCUGUCAGUGUCACCUAGACCAAAU
RNAcentral lists this long non-coding RNA (913 nucleotides) under Bos indicus x Bos taurus (hybrid cattle). RNAcentral describes it as "lncRNA (ENSBIXG00000019609.1)". The record is from RNAcentral. Lineage: Eukaryota; Metazoa; Chordata; Mammalia; Artiodactyla; Bovidae.